AAGUCGUAACAAGGUUUCCGUAGGUGAACCUGCGGAAGGAUCAUUACCGAGUUCUUUUGAAGAAGGGACUGCUGCUGGCACUUUUAUAUAGGGGUGCAUGUGCACGUUCCUGAUUCAUCCAACUCCACACGCCCUUCUGUGCACUUUUGCGUGGGUGAGAGAGAUAACCUCAUCCACGUCCUUUUAUCACACACGCUUUCAAGUGUCGAGAAUGUCUCUAUAUAUGUCGUGCAGAAAUGCAUCUUUUGUACAACUUUCAGCAACGGAUCUCUUGGCUCUC
This 280-nucleotide unclassified non-coding RNA is filed under the name fungal sp. RNAcentral's name for it is "partial internal transcribed spacer region". The stretch from base 1 to 46 matches the Rfam family "Eukaryotic small subunit ribosomal RNA", at positions 1786 to 1831 of the family's 1831-position model. The record is from RNAcentral. Lineage: Eukaryota; Fungi.